CGCGCUUGUAGCAAUACAAGUGGCGCACGGCGCACGGGUGCGUAACACGUGGGUAACCUGCCCUUUGGUGGGGAAUAACCUCGCCAAAGCGAGGCUAAUUCCGCAUAAGAUCCGCAAGGAUGAAAGC
RNAcentral lists this ribosomal RNA (127 nucleotides) under uncultured bacterium. Its description in RNAcentral is "partial 16S ribosomal RNA". It matches the Rfam family "Bacterial small subunit ribosomal RNA", at positions 70 to 207 of the family's 1533-position model. The record is from RNAcentral.